This is a long non-coding RNA of Bubalus bubalis (water buffalo), 6190 nucleotides long. RefSeq lists it as uncharacterized. Lineage: Eukaryota; Metazoa; Chordata; Mammalia; Artiodactyla; Bovidae. The transcript is spliced from 2 exons. The record is from RefSeq and is a predicted model, not a curated record.
GAGAAUUGCGUAGGAGGAAUUUAUUUGUUUAGUUCAUUGUUGAUGCUCCUGCUACAGUGCCUGGCACUUAGUAAACCAUCACUAUAGAGCUGUUUAAUGGAGGAUGACUUACCAUUGGAGGUACUCUCCAUUUAAAGAUUAUUAUUAUGGAGAAUGUCAUUGAAAAUACAGUUACAAUAUGAUGUUGGCAAAAUAUGUUGCCUAACUGAAAUAAAAGUUCUAAAUUAUUUCAAAAGUAAAUGGUGCUCUAUAUUCUCAGGUUAAAGAAAUGUCUACAUAGCUCAUUAGAAUAAGAGAUGUCUCAUUGCUCUGUGUAGACAGAUAAUCCAGUUGACUUAAUUUAGAGAGUGAGCACCUACUUUUUCUUCACCUCAACUGCUCCAAAUAAAGCUAAAUUUACCCUGGAAAAUGCCCUUUCUCCUUUACUUAAAAAAUCAUGACUGGCUUUCUUCUCGUUUGGUCUGUGAUACUUGCUAUUCCUUUUUUAUAUUGCCAAAAAUUAUGAAACCUCUUUAGGCCUCUUUUUAAAAAGAGUACAUAUGCACAUGUAUAAAUAUAUAUAUAUAUAUUUAUUUUUAUGUUAAAAAUAACAUUCUGUGCUUCUCCUUCAAUGAGCCUACAGUGUUAAUGACUCUUAAACAUAGUUCUCCUGGCAUAAAGAUUGGUAAUUUUAUUAAGAGCAGAAUGAUAGCUUUUAAGUUGAAUAUUCCUCUAACAUUUUUUGAUUUUUAAGACUUUCUUUUGAAAAUAUUUUAAAAAGCAAAACAUAUGACUGUGUUUUAGUACCUUAACAUUAGGCUAAAGAUAAUUCAUUAGGUAAUCACCUCAAAUUUCUUUCUCAGGAGAAUCAGUUUCCAUUUUAAAAUCAGCAAAAUAGAUAUACAUAUAACAUAGGCUAGUAUUUCAUUAAAAGAACUUAUUCUUUUAUUUUUUUUAAUUAGGUUGAUCUUAGGCUGACAAUAUCCUAACACAUUUUAGUAAUAUAUUGUCAAGAUAUAAAGCCUGUUUUUUUUUCAGCUGAAACAUAUAUUCAUUAUAUAAAACUCAUUUAUGUCGCAUAGAAUGAAAACUCUCCAGAGUUCCUAGUCUUAAAUAGAUUUGCACACACAUCCAAAUAAAUGUUAAAUGCAAAGCAUUUUGACAGAGUUAAUGAGAAAGGCAUACCUUUCUCACAUACCUAGCCCACCAAACCACAGAAAAUUUUUAAGUGCCAGCUUUGAAGAAGCCUAACAGCCUAACAUUUUUUAAGAUGAUAAGGAUAUAAGUUAUAAAUUAAAAUAUUCAAAUUUCAAAGGCUUUAAGCAACUGCUUUCUAAGGUGAUUUUUGCCCCUCUGAAAACAAAAGGUUUAAGUAGUAUGUGUAUCAGUAAAAUAAUUUCUUUCAUAUUUGUGUGAAUGAGGCUAACAUUCAUAUGUACAUACAAAAAUAUUCAAGAAAAACAAGUUUAGAAUACCAGGUUAAUUAUUUUUUAGUGUAUGUGAAAUAUUGGUUUUCCUCAACUCUGUCCCAGCGUCAAGGUCUAUAGCUUUUAUUGGAACCAGCUAUCUCAUUUUCAUAGGGUCCCAGGAGGCGAGAGUCAUACAUUGUUACUUCAGCCUUCAAAGAGGCAAAGCAGUACAGAGCCUUGUACUGUAAUAGACAACACAGAACAGUCCCAAUUUCAGUUCCUGUUAUAUUGACAAGCCUCCUUUCAGUGUUCUGGCGCUUGACUAGCACAAACAGUACCAGAUCCCUUUCAGCGGAGACUGCAAACGGAAUAAAAAAUCACUUGAGGUCUCUAUACAUUUGCUGUAAUAUUUAUGAGAGAGGGUUGUCUCCUUUUGAGCUUCGUUGCGUCGGACCAUUCCUGUGUCUUCGCAUCUUAGCAUCUUCUUAGCAUCAUCUUAGCAUCUGUCUUAGCAUCUUCUGUGACCUGCACCAGAACUGGGCAAAUCGCGUGGCCUUAGAAGAGUCUGAUCUCCUGGUGGGUGGGAGCGUCUCUCCAGCCUCCUCUCCAUCCAUUUCCCCUCCCUCCAGGUGUGUGUGUCCUGGGGAGGAGGUGGGAGAUAUAAAGGAGAGGAAGAGCGGGGAAGCAAGGCCCAACUCCUCAGAGAUCUCCACACCUCACCCCCGCAGUGCAUUAAGGCCUGACCCAUGGCCUUCUGGUCUCACCUUCUUCCUACUGGUGCGCAGAGACGCUUGCUUCUCCCGCGUCCCUGCAUCCAGGGCGGGGUGGGCUGGGGAUGGCAAUGGGUUCGAGAUUACACACCUGAGCCAGGGAGAGGAGCCCCAUUUCCCGCCCCGCCUGGUUUCACACCGUGUCCACGUCGCUCCUUGUAACCAAGCAGAACAUAGAGUUGGAAGAAAUAGGGGGAAUGAAUCGUAAAGGGGCACAGCCCCCUUGUCUCAAGCUCAAGGGAAAAAAAUCUCCCCGAAAUGUGGGUGCUUGACUUCAGUUUAAUUCUUGGCAGUCUUUCUUAGUCGCGCGUUGUUGUUCACAGACAAUUAUAAAAUGAAUGUUUGAACCCCUGGGUUGACAAAGGAACCGCCGGAGGGUCGAGCCAGCAUCCCCCAACACCUUACAAGUCCCGCGGCCCCGCCCGAGGCCUGCCGGGCGGAGGCGUUCGUUUUGUGGUCCCGGGAGGCGGCCUCCAGCCUCGGGGAAGGCAGCUGCUGUGGACUUGGAACCGCGAGGAAGUACGGCCGUGGCCGGUGGAUGUAAAACAAACCAAACAAACAAAAAACUCUUUGCAACCGGAUUGAUCCAGUCUCGCUGCUUCACAGAGAGCGCGGUGUGGCCGCUUGCCUGGCGCGGGGGCUAUAGCCGCAGGGAGGCUGGGCUCUGGAUCUGGAGGAGUUGAUGUCUUAAAAUAAAUGACAGGGACAGUUCUUUCCCGAGGCAAAGCAUCCACCCCGCCCCCGUCCCCCAUGAAGGCAGUUGGCUUUGAACUCUGGGACAACUCUCCCACCUUCGGCGCGAGACCUGCACCUCGAGUUCGGUCCAGGGCCCAGGGCUCGAGCGCGACACAUCCAGGAGUGGAAAUGCCUUCGGUUAACCGAGAAGGUUGACACUGAAUCCAACUGAGCAGGAAAAUCUGCCGCAUCCGCGCGCUGGAACUGCGAGCACCCGAGAGAGGCGUGCAGGCUGCAAGACCUUCCUCAGCGCCGCGCUGAGCGGUCCUGCUUUAACUCCGUGCAGCCCCGGAAAACUGUCCAGCCAUCCAGGUUCACGGCCGGCUUGUGUCACCGGCGCAUAAAUCACUGUCAGCCCGGACAGAGCAGGCAGAGAGAAAGCUCGCUCGUCCUGGCCACGCGGGCUCUAGGCAGAUUAACUGUCCCGGCUCAGAGCGAAUUGCCCGCCCAAUCUCCUGGGCUCCGAAAGCGAGCUUGCACUUUCUCGGACGCGCAGAGGGAGCCAGGGAGAUGGUUCUAGCCACCUACAGCCUCUUCUCGCCAGGGCCUGAUUACUGACCUGCAGUCAGGGAAGUCGAGAGCGAAUCAUCAUCAGAUCUCAUUUUGUGCACGGGGAUCCCUAAGCCCAUUAAGGUUAAAGUGACAUUCUCAAGGUCAUUUAAAGCUUUAGGAAAACUUCUGCUUGACUCGAAGUCCCUUGGUUCCCGCCAUCACUGCCUGGCCCCUCCAUCAUCCUGCCUCUCAAAUAAAUGGUUUUAGAGAUGUCAGGAUGUAAGGAUGCUAAUAAAGGGAAAAUCACUAUAUGCUGAAUUUGCAAUGGACCACUAUAAUUUUCAGCAUGAUAUUUCUAGUUAUCGUCCCAGAAACGUUCUUCAGAUCUUUCCUCAUUCUACCUAACAAAUUCAGAUACGCAGAAUCUCCGGCGAUCUUAGAUAUCAGGGUGCUAGACACCCAAUCCACCUCCCAACACUUUGCCCCCCCACCCCCACCCGGCAGUGGGUUCUGGGCACUCAUCCAAGUCAGGAGGAGUGGGGGACCUGGGGUAGGCGCGGGCUCGGGGAAAUGCCGAUCCAGGCGAGUGGUUAGGCAAUCAGCUUUCACCUUCCCAUAAACUAUUAGAGAAGGGACUGGUUUUCGUCCAGCAAACUCUGCCCUUAGGCGCUCUGGGCUUGACGCUAUCUUACUAUUGCUCACUAUUCACAUUAAUUAUUCUAGGAAAGCUCAGCACACCUCUGCACUCUUUGAGUAAAGGCAAGCCAUUUCGGAUUCUUUCUCUCAGUGGCAUUCUUUUUUUUCCUCCCAAUCAUUCAUGCACGCAUUCACUCAUUCACUUAUAUCUGGGUUGGAAGUUGGUGGUCCCUCAAAGCAUUUAUUUCUGUAAGAGGCCACAGUGAUGAUCUCUUCCCUUUUAUUCUCAAAUGACUCUCUCUCCCUCCCCACCCCACCCCCACCACCGUUUUAGUCCUACUGUAGGAGAGAAACCCCAACCUUCAACUGUCAACUGUUUUCCAAACACGAGAUUAAUGUUCCCCAGGACUCAGGGGUAAUGUGACCUUUCUGUUUUCAGAUGUGUUUUUCAACAUGUAAUCGUUUGUUUGUUAUGUCUCCCGGUGUGGACUCGGGAAAGCUGGGAAGGGUGUGGGUUGCCAAGGCGGGAAAUGAAUUUGGAGACUUUUUAUUCCCUUUUCAACACAGGAAAACUCAGAGCAUUUUAUUUUUAUUUACCAGAAGAUAAUCCCCUGAAAAAAAAAAUCCACAAUACUGAUACUGAAAAGAAAUCUGAGCAUGUAAUGAGCAACUAUUUUAAAAAGCAUAUCUCCAAACCAAAAGCAAACCUAUUUUUCUUUUAAAUGAGAGGGACUUCUUGGAUGUUGGUCAUGUUUUUUUCUUGAUCUAGGUAGUUACAUGGGAUGUACUGUUUUUAAUUAUUUAUUGAGCUUUUAAUGUAUGAUUUGUGGCUCUUUUUGCAUUGUUAUACUUCAAUUAAAAGCUUUAAAAAUCUAAAAAAUAGGAAACCUCUGGUAUGUGUGUUUGCUACUAAAUCUCCUAAAAUCUAUUUCUAAUGAAUUUCCAAACCAAUAUAUUUGUUAAACUAUAUUUAAGAAAUUUACCAAUAACUUGGUUUCUCAGUAAUAGGUUCUGAAUCAGACUGAGAACAAUGCACUUGAAUUAGUUAUUAGAAAAACAGUAUAAAAAUUGGAUGGCUUUCUAAUAUAGUAAAAUAUCAAAUGAGCAGUGAGAGUUUAAAGCUUGUCUAAGAAAAAUACCUAAAGAAACAAAAUAGCCAUUUGGUUAAAAACAACAACCAGACUUCAUACUUUAAAACGGUAUUUAAUUGUUUGAUACUAACUCCUAUUCGAAAAUGUUUUAUCCCAAACGAGAAUUUUAAAAAGGGUCUCAGCCAUACUCAAAAGUUAAUUUCUGUCACUAAAAAGAAGGCAGUUUGAAACGUGUUUUCCCUCCAUAAAAUAUUGUUAGGUUCCUUUCAUGAUUGGUCACUUUGUAUUUCACCAAGAACCAAAGACUAAAUUGUUCUUCCCAUUUAAUCAAUAGCUUUUAUUGCUGGCAUCAACAACCCCACUUAUGACUUUAAGCUGCCUAAUUUUUCUGCUACCCUGUUCCAUUAAAAAAUAAAAAUCGUGAUUCUCAAAAAUCUAGUAAGUGAUUUUCCGACAAAUGGCUUUGUUGUUGACUCCACACCACCCCAAACCCCUUCCCUCUCUCUCUCUCUCAAGGACCCUUCGUCUCCAGGAACGGUCACUGAGCCCGCACUGCUCACACCAAGGCUUACUUUACAGGCCCUUCCGCGGUUUUAUGAUUGGUUGCUGUGGUUGGAAUGUUUAUAGAUAAUAAACAACUAAUCCGCUUCUUGCCUAAUGAAUUGCCCCACCCGCGUACCAGUGGAACGGCUGUAACUUAGCUCCAGGAUCGAGAGCCAGUGAUAGCCGGGACCGAAACCACCCAACGUAGCCGCAGCUCAGUAUCAAAGCCGAAAGAUCCAAGGCCAGCAGAAGCCUAUUUCGCAUUUUCGAGUUCCUCUGCUCUGGAGCCCCUAGACUCCACUCGUGCUUUGCUCCACCCGCUCCUCUCCCCGUCGGUUUGAAGGAUGUAUUCCAAUGAACAGAAGCUUUCUGAAAAGCGUGCGUCUGAAAAGCGGGGCAGCGGUGUGGAGCCUGGUCGCAGGCACAGGACCCGCCCUCCGGGGACCGCGGCGCUGGGUCCGCAGCAGCUCUUAUUUGGCCGCACGGGCCCCUUCAGUCUUCCGGCGGCAUAUGGCAGUUUGAAUCGUCCUGACUC